This 396-nucleotide ribosomal RNA is filed under the name uncultured Denitrovibrio sp. RNAcentral describes it as "bacterial SSU rRNA". It matches the Rfam family "Bacterial small subunit ribosomal RNA", at positions 995 to 1382 of the family's 1533-position model. Lineage: Bacteria; Pseudomonadati; Deferribacterota; Deferribacteres; Deferribacterales; Geovibrionaceae. The record is from RNAcentral.
AUUAUUUAGAGAUAAAGUAGUGCCGUUCUUGAACGGAACUUAGAGACAGGUGCUGCAUGGCUGUCGUCAGCUCGUGCCGUGAGGUGGUUGGGUUAACGUCCCGCAACGAGCGCAACCCUUAUUUUAGUUGCCAUCAGGUUAAGCUGGGCACUCUAAAGAGACUGCCGUCGAUAAGGCGGAGGAAGGUGGGGACGACGUCAAGUCAUCAUGGCCCUUAUGUCUAGGGCUACACACGUGCUACAAUGGGUUAUACAGAGGGCAGCUAGCUCGCGAGAGUCUGCGAAUCCCUUAAAGUAAUCCUCAGUUCGGAUUGUAGUCUGCAACUCGACUACAUGAAGUUGGAAUCGCUAGUAAUCGCAGGUCAGCAAAACUGCGGUGAAUACGUUCCCGGGCCUU